This 73-nucleotide transfer RNA is filed under the name Pajaroellobacter abortibovis. It matches the Rfam family "tRNA". From Rfam's summary of the family: Transfer RNA (tRNA) molecules are approximately 80 nucleotides in length. Their secondary structure includes four short double-helical elements and three loops (D, anti-codon, and T loops). Lineage: Bacteria; Pseudomonadati; Myxococcota; Polyangiales; Polyangiaceae. The record is from Rfam by way of RNAcentral.
GCUGGCGUAGCUCAAUUGGCAGAGCACUUGUUUUGUAAACAGGUAGUUAGGGGUUCAAGUCCCCUCGUCAGCU